GCAAGUCGAGCGAUGAGAUCACUUCGGUGAUGGAUUAGCGGCGAACGGGUGAGGAACACGUGAAGAAUCUGCCUUCAACUCUGGGAUAACUCCGGGAAACCGGGGCUAAUACCGGAUAUGAGCCUUGAUCGCAUGAUCGGGGCUGGAAAGUUUUUCGGUUGAAGAUGACUUCGCGGCCUAUCAGCUUGUUGGUGAGGUAAUGGCUCACCAAGGCGACGACGGGUAGCCGGCCUGAGAGGGCGACCGGCCACACUGGGACUGAGACACGGCCCAGACUCCUACGGGAGGCAGCAGUGGGGAAUAUUGGGCAAUGGACGAAAGUCUGACCCAGCGACGCCGCGUGCGGGAUGAAGGCCUUCGGGUUGUAAACCGCUUUCAGCAGGGAAUAAGCGCAAGUGAAGGUACCUGCAGAAGAAGCACCGGCUAACUAUGUGCCAGCAGCCGCGGUAAUACAUAGGGUGCAAGCGUUGUCCGGAAUUAUUGGGCGUAAAGAGCUCGUAGGUGGUUUGUUACGUCGGUUGUGAAAUUCAGGGGCUCAACCCCUGACUUGCAGCCGAUACGGGCAAGCUAGAGUUUGGUAGGGGAGACUGGAAUUCCUGGUGUAGCGGUGGAAUGCGCAGAUAUCAGGAGGAACACCGAUGGCGAAGGCAGGUCUCUGGGCCAAUACUGACACUGAGGAGCGAAAGCGUGGGGAGCGAACAGGAUUAGAUACCCUGGUAGUCCACGCCGUAAACGGUGGGCGCUAGUUGUGCGAACCUUCCACGGUUUGUGCGACGCAGCUAACGCAUUAAGCGCCCCGCCUGGGGAGUACGAUCGCAAGAUUAAAACUCAAAGGAAUUGACGGGGCCCCGCACAAGCAGCGGAGCAUGCAGCUUAAUUCGA
RNAcentral lists this ribosomal RNA (882 nucleotides) under uncultured Actinomycetales bacterium. RNAcentral describes it as "bacterial SSU rRNA". It matches the Rfam family "Bacterial small subunit ribosomal RNA", at positions 57 to 954 of the family's 1533-position model. The record is from RNAcentral. Lineage: Bacteria; Bacillati; Actinomycetota; Actinomycetes; Actinomycetales.